GGAUGUGAGAGGGUGAUCUGGCUGUGACAUCUGUCACCCACUGAUCACCAAGGUUGACUGGGCUGAUUUGGCUGGCUAUGGCGUUGCCCCCUUCCUCCCUCACCACUCCUUGUGCAUCCCUCUCAAAACUGUCCCUGGGUCAGAAAGGACAAACACCCUGAUAGAGGAGGACCAUUUCCUCGAUCAAUGGUAUAUAAGUAAUCACCCUGCUAGAACCUCCAAACAAGUUCUCAAAAGGUACUAUAUGUCUCACACCUUUGGAUAAUGCUCAUCUAUCUCACUACUCUUAUAGGCAUUGUUUCAGAAACCAU
This is an unclassified non-coding RNA of Cavia porcellus (domestic guinea pig), 311 nucleotides long. Its record names the gene 7SK. It matches the Rfam family "7SK RNA". Rfam says of the family: 7SK was discovered as an abundant small nuclear RNA in the mid-70s but a possible function has only recently been suggested. Two independent studies have found that 7SK RNA binds the CDK9/cyclin T complex (known as elongation factor P-TEFb). P-TEFb activates transcription by phosphorylating the C-terminal domain of RNA polymerase II. The record is from Ensembl. NCBI's taxonomy places the organism in Eukaryota, Metazoa, Chordata, Mammalia, Rodentia, Caviidae.